ACUCAACUUUGAUCACAUAAAUUCUCAAAAAGAAAACAAGUCUUUAACCCAUGGCCCUCUCCCCAAAACUCCCCUGUUUCUUCAUCUUCCUCAUCAUCUCUCUAACCUCUGCUACCAAAGACAUCCAUGACCUUCUCCCAGACUACGGGUUCCCUAAAGGGCUGAUCCCAAACGCUGUCGUUUCAUACACUAUAUCAUCCAACGGUGACUUCUCUGUCAUUCUAAGUCACCCAUGUUAUGUCCAGUUUGAUCAGCUUGUUUAUUAUGACAAGUUAGUCAAAGGCAAGUUGACCUAUGGGUCUGUCACUGAUGUCUCGGGCAUUCAGGCCAAGAAGUUUUUCAUAUGGGUUAAUGUUAAUGGGAUGACUCUUGAUUCUGGUUCCAACAUGAUUGAGUUUCAUGUUGGUGGCUUGUCUCAAAAGUUGCCAGCUGAUCAGUUUGUUGAUAUUCCGGACUGUAAGAAUAAGGCUUGUCAACAAAAUAAUACUGUACUUCAUCAAACAAUUUGAGCAGGUCCAGGCCAUAUCUACAGCUACCACGGCUCCAAGCCAGAUUUGUUCUGAGGCGAUGACUUUGCCUAAUGCUUAUUUUCAUAUAUCUAUCAUUUAAUGAAUUGAAAAACUUAAGAUUCACCACAAUACCACAUACUUGUAGGAUAAGGAUUGUGUGAGGUGGAGAUGUACAUGUCUUUCUCCAUGUCUACAUUGUAACAUUGUAAAUGCCGAAGUCUUGUCUUAUAUAAUGCGUAUAUGCUGAUCUAAAGAAUAUUUUGAGUUUGGGUGAA
Long non-coding RNA from Daucus carota subsp. sativus, 784 nucleotides. RefSeq lists it as uncharacterized. NCBI's taxonomy places the organism in Eukaryota, Viridiplantae, Streptophyta, Magnoliopsida, Apiales, Apiaceae. The record is from RefSeq and is a predicted model, not a curated record. The transcript is spliced from 2 exons.